RNAcentral lists this ribosomal RNA (253 nucleotides) under uncultured bacterium. RNAcentral describes it as "partial 16S ribosomal RNA". It matches the Rfam family "Bacterial small subunit ribosomal RNA", at positions 524 to 776 of the family's 1533-position model. The record is from RNAcentral.
UACGUAGGGUGCAAGCGUUGUCCGGAAUUAUUGGGCGUAAAGAGCUCGUAGGCGGUCUGUCACGUCGACUGUGAAAUCCCGAGGCUCAACCUCGGGCCUGCAGUCGAUACGGGCAGACUAGAGUUCGGUAGGGGAGACUGGAAUUCCUGGUGUAGCGGUGAAAUGCGCAGAUAUCAGGAGGAACACCGGUGGCGAAGGCGGGUCUCUGGGCCGAUACUGACGCUGAGGAGCGAAAGCGUGGGGAGCGAACAGG